CAGCCGCCGCGGGAAAACGAAGGGUGCAAGCGUUACUCGGAAUUACUGUGCGUAAAGCGUGCGUAGGUGGUGGUUUAAGUCCGUUGUGAAAGCCCUGGGCUCAACCUGGGAAUUGCAGUGGAUACUGGGUCACUAGAGUGUGGUAGAGGAUAGUGGAAUUUCCGGUGUAACAGUGAAAUGCGUAGAGAUCGGAAGGAACAUCUGUGGCGAAGGCGACUAUCUGGGCCAACACUGACACUGAGGCACGAAAGCGUGGGGAGCAAACAGGAUUAGAUACCCCAGUAGUCCCUGUCUCUUAUAC
Molecule: ribosomal RNA, 301 nt
Filed under: uncultured bacterium
Lineage: Bacteria
Description: partial 16S ribosomal RNA
Rfam family: Bacterial small subunit ribosomal RNA
Source: RNAcentral